Long non-coding RNA from Cucumis sativus (cucumber), 1042 nucleotides. RefSeq lists it as uncharacterized. The record is from RefSeq and is a predicted model, not a curated record. Lineage: Eukaryota; Viridiplantae; Streptophyta; Magnoliopsida; Cucurbitales; Cucurbitaceae. The transcript is spliced from 2 exons.
AAAAUCCUUCUUUUUUCUAAUUUGUGAGUUACAAAAUUGAUAUUGGGUAAAAAAGUUGGGUUCUUCGUCAAAAUCCAAAACUUCCUUUUUUUUAGAUUACAAAUUUUAGUCGGUUUUUUAAAAACAUUCCAAAAAAUUAAACAAAAUUUAGAAACCAAUAAAAAUCAAAAUAUUCACCAAAGGUACCUGUAACGUAAUCGUCCAACUUCAAGUUGGUUGUGUGUGGAUUUCUUUCCUCAUCCCAUAAAAUUCUGCUCCGUUUUCUCUCUCGCACGCCUUUUUCCUACAAAAACAGAAUGCAUUAUCUACUUCCCUAUUUCUUAUCAAAUUCUAACAGAGUUUUAAAAUAGAACUACGAGUGAUAAAGAUAAUUACUUACCAGACGACUCUGGUCUAAGCUAAAGCUUCCAGAUGCGUUGUUGGACGACAGUGUACUUGAAGUCCAUACUAGACUUGAGGCUAAAUACGGGAUUACCUCCAACGCUUGGAGUGUCGAAUGGCAGCUGGAAGAGCACUUUGGAACCAUGUGAUAACACUAGGCGAAGCGGCAUGCUUGAGAAACCUUCAUGAGAAGCUAAAAAAAAGAUAGAAGCAACAACCCUAAAGAGAUUUCUACACUGAUUCUUGUUGUUUGUGCCCUCUGGUUCGAUUCCAUAAAUUGAAGGUGCUCUAACAUUCUUCAAUAGUAGAUAGUCACAGGUCAUUCUCCUUGAUGAAGGCUUCUGGUUCACCUCAGCUACCACCCGUCCCAUAGAAAGACAAUCCGCAACUAAGAUGAAAAUCUCUGAGUAGGCUGGAUGGAGGUCAGACGCCACCUCUACCUACUUCAUGCUUCAUUAUAAAAGUUCCAUGGAAAGGAUGUCAAAUUAUAAGUCCAUGGUUUCUACAUCACUCCAUAUCAGAGGUGGUCAUACUCGUGUAAUUAUAGUACAUAUCAUCUGUAAACUAUGCAAUUAGAAAAAACACAACUUGGACCUAAAUUGUGUUUUCUGUAGGUAGAUUAUAAUUAUUUUCCACUAAUUCACAUUUCUGGUUGUAAAAA